Molecule: long non-coding RNA, 1979 nt
Organism: Cydia fagiglandana
Lineage: Eukaryota; Metazoa; Arthropoda; Insecta; Lepidoptera; Tortricidae
Exons: 2
Source: RefSeq, a predicted model, not a curated record
GUUGCUGUAGUAAAAUAUUUUUAUGGUAAUUACUGGCAAUACAGCUCUAGAAACGGAGCACACAUGUACAAUUAUGAAGGGUCACGUCAUUCCAAGGAAGUCAAUAGGCCUUGGGUUAUAUUCUCUUGGGAAAAUACUUCGAAAAAUACAGCUUUGAACUGUCAAACAAAGUGAAUUAAUGAUGGAUUCAUAUUUAUUAGCGGUUUACAUUAAUUUCACUUAUAACCUUUUGUAAAACAGUGAAAAUAACUGUAAAUAAGAUAAACAAAGUUUACGUACAAAAUCAUGUCGUUGAAGAAAUCGUCAUCAGAGGCAAUGGAUUUAGAAAGUGAUUUUUGCGUGUUGCCGGGAACCUCUACAGACGGCUUGCAGCCAGAAGAUUAUGUAUGGGUAGAACAGCAAGACCCAAUUUGCCUUGACACUGGCAUAUCAUCAGAUACACAAAGAAGCUCUGAAGUAGCUGUAUCUACUGACUAUAUAGAGGGAUCGCAGAUAAAACACGAUACACUAAUGACAAAUUUAAUAGAAGAUGCAUAUGUAUAUGACUAUCAUGUGGAUCAAUAUGAUUCAACAAUCGCAAAACUGAGUCAUGAUAAGAAAAAAUCCAAUAAGAAAAAACCUAGUUAUAAAAACAUUACUGUCCGAAAUGCUUCUGGCAGUCCACAAGAGGAAGAAGCAUUUAAUAUUCACAUGUUUGAUGAACCUACAGCUGAAAUACUGAAAAGCAUUGUUUCAUCAAAUAAUUAUUAUAGAGGGAACUUCGGAAAUAUAAUAAAUAAAGGGCGAAAAUCAGUUGUUAUAUAUGCCUAUAUAUCAAAAAAGGAUUAUCCAACAUGGGACCCCAAAAAUGUAUGCUACAAUCAAUAAUGAGUAUAAUAAGCGCUACCGAAAUUGGCGGUCUGAACAAAAUGUGGUAAAAGUAUGUAAACUAAGUGAAGAUACGUCAAAUAAUGAGAGAAUAUUUCAGCAAGUUCAGAGAGAAAGAGAAAACUUACUUAUACUAAAUAAAGCGAAAUGCAAAGUACCGGAAAUGAAGCAUUGUAGUCGGAAUGUUAUUGUUAUGAGCCUGGUUGGAACCGAUGGGGUCACUGCCCCAUCAAUCGAAACUCUUGCUACCCAACCUUUGAAGCGGUCUCAACAGAUGUACGACACUAUUGUGAAAGAUAUAGAAAUGUGGUACAAAACAUUACAUUUAAUUCAUGGAAACCUGGUGUCUAAAAACAUAUUGUUUUGGAAAAACGAAGUCCAUUAUAUAGGAUGGUCACACUCUGUUAAGGCAGAACAUCCUGUAGCUUUGAAGAAGUUGAUGAAAGACUGUUGUUUUAUUACUAGGUUUUUUGAAACCACAGGUGUGCCCGUAAGACACACAAAGAAGUUAUUUAAAGUCAUUACAGGGCUUAAAGAAAUAGAUCACUCUGCAUUAAGUAUAAAUCACUCCGAGGACUUGUGGAAAAGCCAGGAUUUGACAAAUCCCAACAGGAUGCCAACCAGCCAUACUGAUAAUCAUGGAAGAAACUGUCGCUUUAAAAGAUGAUGUCUAGUAGAUUCAGUAGUUAAGAAGUGUCAAAAAUAAGAAAAGUGGAGAGCUGAUCAAUCUCGUACCUUAUUUAGGUCACUCAGCAAGCUUCUGGCCUAAACUCGACUGAAAAUAGUUUUAAAUAUUUCAGUAAAGUUGAACACUAUUGUGCAAAGAGAAAUUUCCAUUCAACUUGAAAUGCAAUGCAGUCAAAGAAAGAUUUAGAUAUCUAAGUACCUUUAAAAUAAUACUCCUUUUUCCUGUCAAAUUAGAAAGAAGAGAGAAACAGUCAGCUAUGAGCUAAAGCUGCUGGUUUGUAACAGUUGAGUAGUUUCGAUAUUAGUAAUUAUAAUGAUAAGAUAAAUAUGAACACCAUUGUUCCGAGAUGGAUGGGAAAGACAAAUAGUAUAUUGAUAAUGAUAAUAUUAUUGGUUCAUAGAAAUAAAAAAACUACUGAAUGGUU